UCAAGUGAAUAAGUGCAUGUGGUGGAUGCCUUGGCGAUUACAGGCGAUGAAGGACGUUGUAGCCUGCGAAAAGCCGCGGGGAGCUGGCAAACAAGCUUUGAUCCGCGGAUGUCCGAAUGGGGAAACCCACCCGCAAGGGUAUCGCUGACUGAAUCCAUAGGUCAGCGAGGCGAACGUGGCGAACUGAAACAUCUAAGUAGCCACAGGAAAAGAAAUCAACCGAGAUUCCGAAAGUAGUGGCGAGCGAAAUCGGAGCAGCCUGUGCGUGAUAGUCGAUUGGCUAGUGGAACGGUAUGGAAAGGCCGGCCAUAGAGGGUGAUAGCCCCUUACACGAAAGCGAAUCGGUGGUACUGAGCGUACGACAAGUAGGGCGGGACACGUGUAAUCCUGUCUGAAGAUGGGGGGACCAUCCUCCAAGGCUAAAUACUCGUAAUCGACCGAUAGUGAACAAGUACUGUGAAGGAAAGGCGAAAAGAACCCCGGGAGGGGAGUGAAAUAGAUCCUGAAACCGCAUGCAUACAAACAGUCGGAGCCUCGCAAGGGGUGACGGCGUACCUUUUGUAUAAUGGGUCAGCGACUUACGUUCAGUGGCAAGCUUAACCAGAUAGGGGAGGCGCAGGGAAACCGAGUCCGAAUAGGGCGCCAUAGUCGCUGGGCGUAGACCCGAAACCAGGUGAUCUAUCCAUGGUCAGGAUGAAGGUUGGGUAACACCAGCUGGAGGUCCGAACCGACUAAUGUUGCAAAAUUAGCGGAUGAACUGUGGAUAGGGGUGAAAGGCUAAUCAAACCUGGAAAUAGCUGGUUCUCCCCGAAAACUAUUUAGGUAGUGCGUCAUGUAUUGCUCCAGGGGGUAGAGCACUGUAAUGGUUGUGGGGGCCAUCGCGGCUUACCACGCCAUAGCAAACUCCGAAUACCUGGAAGUAUGAGCAUGGCAGACAGUCGCCGGGUGCUAACGUCCGGCGGCAAGAGGGAAACAACCCAGACCUACAGCUAAGGUCCCAAAGUGUGGCUAAGUGGGAAACGAAGUGGGAAGGCUAAAACAGUCAGGAUGUUGGCUUAGAAGCAGCCAUCAUUUAAAGAAAGCGUAAUAGCUCACUGAUCGAGUCGUCCUGCGCGGAAGAUGUAACGGGGCUAAGCCAUGCACCGAAGCUUAGGCUGCACUCUCUGAGUGCGGGGUAGGGGAGCGUUCUGUAAGCCUGUGAAGGUGUCUCGUAAGGGAUGCUGGAGGUAUCAGAAGUGCGAAUGCUGACAUGAGUAGCGUUAAAGCGGGUGAAAAGCCCGCUCGCCGUAAGCGCAAGGUUUCCUACGCAACGUUCAUCGGCGUAGGGUGAGUCGGCCCCUAAGGUGAGGGCGAAAGCCAUAGCUGAUGGGAAGCUGGUUAAUAUUCCAGCACCGAUUUCUAGUGCGAUGGGGGGACGGAUCGUGGAAGGUUGUCCGGGUGUUGGAAGUCCCGGUUCCUGACCUGUAGGUGUCUGGUAGGUAAAUCCGCCAGGCGUAUGCCGAGGGGUUGGGACGAGCGAGCUUGCUCGCGAAGCAACUGGAAGUGGUUCCAAGAAAAGCCUCUAAGCUUCAGCUAGAAACGACCGUACCGCAAACCAACACUGGUGCGCGAGAUGAGUAUUCUCAGGCGCUUGAGAGAACUCGGGAGAAGGAACUCGGCAAAUUGACACCGUAACUUCGGAAGAAGGUGUGCCUUGGUAGCUUGAGUGUGAACAACACAAGGGCAAAGAGGUUGCAAAGAAUAGGUGGCUGCGACUGUUUAUUAAAAACACAGCACUCUGCAAACACGAAAGUGGACGUAUAGGGUGUGACGCCUGCCCGGUGCCGGAAGGUUAAGUGAUGGGGUGCAAGCUCUUGAUCGAAGCCCCGGUAAACGGCGGCCGUAACUAUAACGGUCCUAAGGUAGCGAAAUUCCUUGUCGGGUAAGUUCCGACCUGCACGAAUGGCGUAACGACUUCUC
This 1959-nucleotide ribosomal RNA is filed under the name human oral metagenome. RNAcentral's name for it is "bacterial LSU rRNA". It matches the Rfam family "Bacterial large subunit ribosomal RNA", at positions 3 to 2013 of the family's 2925-position model. The record is from RNAcentral.